CGAUUUUUAUUGCUACUGAUUUUUUAGAUUGCUCUCGGUUUUUUUACAAUGAAAUGAACCGGCAGCCAUCCAUGUAUUCCAUAUAUAUAUAUAUGAAGUAAAUCAGCAGUCAAUCAACCAACGAAGUAAAUCGGCAGCCAUUCAACCAAUCAGCCAUAUAUCCAUAUAUAACAUGUAUUCCAUAUAUAACACAAAUCAUAUCACAAUUUAGGAUUAAGCGGUAGUGUUUCCAUGUAGAGCCGAAAUCUUCCACAUUUAGCCAAAAAAACAUAGGAGGGCCAGGCGAGCCAGAGUUUGCCAUCGGAGCAAAAAUCAAAGGAGGAAAAAAACAAACGUGGCCUCCCUUUCCUCCGCAAUCGGAUCCCUGCCAGCAUGGCCAUGCCGCCGCCGCCUGCAGAGUCCGCCCGGAUGGAGGAAGCGCUUGGGGCGAGGGAGAGGUCUAGGCGUCGUCCCGGUGCUCGUCUCCCUCUGGUGUCCGGUGUUGUCUGCUGGCUGCUGCUGCUGUGUGCGCGGGAGAUUGGGAGGAGGCUUCAGAUGGGAUGGAAGAAUUUUAUACUGAUUAACUAUCUUCUGUGGGAAGCUUCAGCUGUUGAUUUCAGCAGAAGAUGUGUGGUGUGCUGCUGCUAUUUCGGCGACAACGCUAACACAGAGAUUGGUACUUUGGUGUGUUCCUUGGAUGGACGACCGGUCAAGGUCAGAUGAUCAAUUCACUUCUUGGCUGCCGCUGCCAAGUUUACUAUUAUGAAUCUAAUCCCUCCUAUUAUUCUCUUGUUGUUACAAAUCUGCUCACUUCACAAUGUUUUGGCGUGACAUGCUUUGGGCGGCUUGCUUUCACACAUGGAACAAACUGAUUAUAUUUAUUUUCAGGUACAAAGAUUAUUUGCAGGAGUACAAAGAGAAAUAUAAAGUCUACCCUUACUUGAAUAGUCAGAUAGAUAAAACACAGUAUUGUUACACUGAAUUUUCCUUUUAAAGUUCCCCUUUGUAUUCUGUUUAUUUCUUAAGUCCAUGUCAUGUUAUCUCCUAUAAUUGGCCUGCUUGUUACGCAAUUUUGAAGCUAAAGGUUCAUGCGGAUUUCAAUGUUGCUAAAGAAAGAUACAACGAUCGGUGCUACAUUGUUGAAAGACUCAAAGACAUGUAUCAUGAGUCAGACACAGUAAUUAAGUUUUCUACAUGCCUUUUCCUUACUAACUAAACCUGAGUACAUGAUUAUUUUCAGUUUUCUCAGAGGAGCGGUAGCGAAGGGAACACACAACAGUUGUUGUCAUAUGCACCACGGGCACGGUGGGUGGUAGAUUACGCGGACACUGGGCGUCGUCUUGCUUCUUUUGUUCUGCUUAUUAAUUAAUUCUCUAUCUAUUUAUGAUGAUGCAAUUUUGGGUUGUGUGUGUGCUGCUGCUGCUUACACAUAACAAAUAAUAUUGAUAUGAAUUUUUCUUCUUCAGUUGCUAAUGCACUGAUAUGUUAUUGUUCAUGCACAUGUACUUUAGCACCCACAUUUCCAUGUCUCCUUCAAUUUGUUGCAGAUUUCUUCCAAGUAUAGUGAGCUACUUUAUUAAUGUGAACUUUUACUUCUUGCAGUUGCUAAUGUAUUGAUAUUUUUUUGUUCAUGCUCAUGUGUUGUAGCUCCCACAUCUUUCUCUGUCUCCUUCAAUUUGUUGUUCAUGCUCAUGUGAUGUAGACUACACACGGCAUGCCGGUGCAGGAGGUGGCGUUGCGAUGUGUUGGAUCUGAUCUUUUUUCUCCUGCUAUACGGUUGCUUUGAGUGGUGAUGCCAGGAAUGAGGAGCGGACACCUACGUCAUGUGUCACCAGUGGAGGAAGGAAGGCAAGAAGAAGCUCUCCAACACCAACUUCACAUUGUUCCGUAGUUUGAUUCGUUAUAUUUUCCCCGAGUUCCAUGUUCCCCCCUUUUCCAUUCCAUGCAUGCGUUGUGUUGUGUGUGGUAAAGUAAUUUCAAGAAGAAUCAUCGUGCGCAAUUAUUUACGUGUGUUGCUAUAUUUGCCGGUGAAUUUGCAGGACAUUUAAAUGCAUUAGUUAACUAGGGCGUUUGUGUUGAUCUAGGACAUCUGGACGUAGCUGUUCUACUCCUUAUUUAGCCAGAAGAAUUCCUAGCUGGGACGAAGAUUCAACACGAGAUCUAAAGUUCCGCCUGAAGCCAAACAUUCAGUUGUUGACAACAUUGUUUGAUAGUUGUCCAGGAAAUUGCAGGGAUGUGUCUGCCUCCAGCAAAACGUGACAAUGGUUCCAGCAAAAUGCCAUGCUGGUUGCAGCGUUACAUUGAUCUUGCAGCAAACAUGGGCUCCCGUUCCAGCAAAACAAAACGCCGGUUCCAGCAAAUCGUAACGCCAAUUGCAACAUUGUCGUGGCGUCCCCGCCGUUCUCCACCGUCGCACCACCGCGGCUCGUGGUAGCUCUUCCGAAUGCUGGUUGUGGUUCCAGCACUUUGUGCGGUCGGUUGCAACAUUAAUUGGCUCGCUGUCCGUCGUUCAACUCCAGCGACGCGUCGCUCGUCGCGCCAUGGCCAUGUGUCGUUGCAGCUCCACCCCACCCCUUACGAAGCUCUGGGUGGUUGCAGAUUUCGUCGGCUGUGGUUUGCAUGCCGCGUGGAGGGAGGAGGUGUGGAUCUCGCCGGCGCGCGCUCCGUCUCGUAUCUCCGUCCACCUCUGGUAUCAGCUCGCCGGCGCAUAGUCGAGGGGAGCCGCGGGGCGCGCUCGGACGACUGGGGAGCAGAUGGGGAGCAAGAGAGCGGAAGAGGAAGGCAACCAUAGCGAAGGGAUAAGGUGGGGUCACGGUCUGUUCUGGCCACAUGAUGACUCCCGAUCGAACGUCCCGCGCACGACCGGCCCAAUGUUCGGCCGACGCGCCGGCUAUAAAUGUUUUUAAUUGUAUACUCUCGUGGAAUGGCAAAGAAUUGGUGCAUCUGAUUUGUACGGUGAGUAUUCACUGUUGCACAUUUUAAGACCUUCAACAUCAAUAAUAUUCUUGUUAACUA
This is a non-coding RNA of Triticum urartu, 2994 nucleotides long. NCBI's taxonomy places the organism in Eukaryota, Viridiplantae, Streptophyta, Magnoliopsida, Poales, Poaceae. The record is from RefSeq and is a predicted model, not a curated record.